Molecule: ribosomal RNA, 486 nt
Filed under: uncultured bacterium
Lineage: Bacteria
Description: bacterial SSU rRNA
Rfam family: Bacterial small subunit ribosomal RNA
Source: RNAcentral
GAUGAACGCUAGCGGCAGGCCUAACACAUGCAAGUCGAGGGGCAUCGCGGUGCAGCAAUGCACUGGCGGCGACCGGCGUACGGGUGCGUAACGCGUAUGCAACCUGCCCCGCACCGGGGGAUAGCCCGCCGAAAGGCGGAUUAAUACCCCAUGGUCCCGGGGGCCCGCAUGGGCAUCCGGGUAAAGCCUUGGCGGUGCGGGAUGGGCAUGCGUGCCAUUAGCUGGCUGGUGGGGUAACGGCCCACCAGGGCAACGAUGGCUAGGGGGUCUGAGAGGAUGGUCCCCCACACUGGUACUGAGACACGGACCAGACUCCUACGGGAGGCAGCAGUGAGGAAUAUUGGUCAAUGGGCGGAAGCCUGAACCAGCCAUGCCGCGUGCGGGAUGAAGGCCCUACGGGUUGUAAACUGCUUUUAGCCGGGAAUAAACACCCGUUUUAUAACGGGCCCGAAGGUACCGGCUGAAUAAGCAUCGGCUAACUCCGUG